Molecule: non-coding RNA, 240 nt
Organism: Schizosaccharomyces pombe (fission yeast)
Lineage: Eukaryota; Fungi; Ascomycota; Schizosaccharomycetes; Schizosaccharomycetales; Schizosaccharomycetaceae
Source: the annotation of a GenBank genome assembly
AUAAUGCUGGAGGAGCACCCAAAAUUGUUCCUUUACAUGUUGGCUCAAUGUUCAUGAAAUCCUUUUGUUUCCCGGCUUCGGUUUUUCCAAAUAGAUUUUCAUUCAAAGACUUAUCUUUGGAAAUGUUUUUCUUGCUGGCAUUAUCAAUCUCUAUGUCCGUUUGUUAGAUACAUAAUUGACGGUGGAAAUGAAGCUUUCCUGUAAAACACACUAUUAAAAAAAUUUCUUACCCAUUGCAAU